AUUUGAAAUCUGGCUGGUUUACUAGUCCGAGUUGUAAUUUAAAGAAGCGUUUUCGGUGGCAGCUGGGGUAUAAAUCCUUUGGAAUAGGGUAUCAUAGAGGGUGAGAAUCCCGUCUUUGACCUAGUGCAUGCUACUAUGUGAUACGUUUUCAAAGAGUCGAGUUGUUUGGGAAUGCAGCUCAAAAUGGGUGGUAAAUUUCAUCUAAAGCUAAAUAUUGGCGAGAGACCGAUAGCGAACAAGUACCGUGAGGGAAAGAUGAAAAGAACUUUGAAAAGAGAGUUAAACAGUGCGUGAAAUUGUUGAAAGGGAAACGUUUGACACCAGUCAUGUGGGUGGAAAAUCAGUCUUUUGCAUUGGGGAGUUGUAAAGGUUCGGACCGCAAGGCCGGCUUUUGCUUCAUCUUUGGUGUAAGGGAUGCACUUUUUCAUCUACAGGUCAACAUCAGUUUCUUUUGCUGGACAAAACUCCGAGAGAAGGUAGCAGCUUAGGCUGUGUUAUAGCUCUGGAGCGAUACAGUGAAGGGGACUGAGGUUUUCGCAGCGUGUGCUCUCGGGCAAGGCUGGAUGGGUGCUAUGGGAUCGUUCGGGGUACAAUGCCUGGCAUUUUGCUUCGUGUCUUUUCUAUACUCGCUCAACUCAGCUCUUCCACGCUUAGGAUGUUGACUUAAUGGUUUUAAACGACCCGUCUUGAAACACGGACCAAGGAGUCUAACAUAUAUGCAAGUGUUUGGGUGGCAAACCCAUGCGCGUAAUGAAAGUGAACGUAGGUGCGAUCCGCAAGGUGCAGCAUCGACCGAUCUUGAUAUUUUUGGAUAGAUUUGAGUAAGAGCAUAUAUGCUGGGACCCGAAA
Molecule: ribosomal RNA, 849 nt
Filed under: uncultured fungus
Lineage: Eukaryota; Fungi
Description: eukaryotic LSU rRNA
Rfam family: Eukaryotic large subunit ribosomal RNA
Source: RNAcentral